CAGCCGCCGCGGUAAUACGAAGGGGGCAAGCGUUGUUCGGAAUUACUGGGCGUAAAGGGCGCGUAGGCGGUGCACUAAGUCAGGCGUGAAAGCCCUGGGCUCAACCCGGGAAUUGCGCUUGAUACUGGUGCGCUUGAAUCCAGGAGAGGUUGGUGGAAUUCCCAGUGUAGAGGUGAAAUUCGUAGAGAUUGGGAAGAACACCGGUGGCGAAGGCGGCCAACUGGACUGGUAUUGACGCUGAGGCGCGAAAGCGUGGGGAGCAAACAGGAUUAGAUACCCCAGUAGUCCCUGUCUCUUAUAC
This 301-nucleotide ribosomal RNA is filed under the name uncultured bacterium. Its description in RNAcentral is "partial 16S ribosomal RNA". It matches the Rfam family "Bacterial small subunit ribosomal RNA", at positions 509 to 807 of the family's 1533-position model. The record is from RNAcentral.